This 200-nucleotide ribosomal RNA is filed under the name uncultured bacterium. RNAcentral describes it as "partial 16S ribosomal RNA". It matches the Rfam family "Bacterial small subunit ribosomal RNA", at positions 28 to 236 of the family's 1533-position model. The record is from RNAcentral.
GACGAACGCUUGCGGCGUGCCUAAGAAAUGCAAGUCGAACGGAAGUAGCAAUACUUUAGUGGCGAACGGUCGCGUAACACGUAAGAAACCUGCCUCAAAGUGGGGGACAGCGAUCCGAAAGGGUCGCUAAUACCGCAUGUGAACAAGUGAUGGCAUCAUUAUUUGUUUAAAGCUUUAUGCGCUUUGAGAUGGUCUUGCGG